UACGGGGGGGGCAAGCGUUGUUCGGAAUUACUGGGCGUAAAGGGCUCGUAGGCGGCCAACUAAGUCAGACGUGAAAUCCCUCGGCUUAACCGGGGAACUGCGUCUGAUACUGGAUGGCUUGAGGUUGGGAGAGGGAUGCGGAAUUCCAGGUGUAGCGGUGAAAUGCGUAGAUAUCAGGAGGAACACCGGUGGCGAAGGCGGUUCUCUGGGCCUGUACUGACGCUGAGGAACGAAAGCGUGGGGAGCGAACAGG
Molecule: ribosomal RNA, 253 nt
Filed under: uncultured bacterium
Lineage: Bacteria
Description: partial 16S ribosomal RNA
Rfam family: Bacterial small subunit ribosomal RNA
Source: RNAcentral